GUUAAUAGAUGGGGCGUUAUUUAAUUUAGUAAAUAAUAAAUUAAAUAAAAAAUUUGAAAUUUAUGUGGAACUAAUAAAUUUGGUAUAUGUUAUUAUUAUUACUAUUAUUAUUAUUAUUAUUUUCUGUUGGCUAAUCUAAGUCGAUAACUUGUGUAGAAGGGUUUUUUUUUUUAAAGAGAAAUAUAAUAUACUACCCAUUUCGUUUAUUUUUUAAAAAUAAAUUUAACCAAAAAUAUGAAUUAAUUAGAAUUCUAGCUUGAAACUUCGAUACCAAUCAUCAAACCAUUUUCUACUUGUGCUAGGACAAAUGGUGAAACUUGUUUACAAGGUUACUUGGUCUAAAAUCCAAUCAUUUUUUUUUUUUUUGAGAGAGAUAGGUAACACGCUACCCGUUUCGUUUAUUUUAUUUAGAAAUAAACUUAGCUAGAAAUAUGAAUCAACUAGGAUUCGAAUUUGGAUCUCGGGUACCAACCAACUGCUCUAGAAACGGU
RNAcentral lists this long non-coding RNA (491 nucleotides) under Ananas comosus (pineapple). Its description in RNAcentral is "long non-coding RNA (ACOM_LNC029535)". Lineage: Eukaryota; Viridiplantae; Streptophyta; Magnoliopsida; Poales; Bromeliaceae. The record is from RNAcentral.